CAGGACUGCAAUAACAUGCUCUCUCAAUGGUGGCCGUGUUUGUGAGCCAUCUGUCACUCAGUGUGCACAGCUAUGGUCAUCACCAGGUGGGUGCAGUAGACAGACGUGCAAAGAUUUCCCAUGGUUGGUCAUUGAUGAUCGUCACUAUGCGCAACUUCACUAUAGCUGGAUAGCAGUGAUUCCUGUCAGAUCAUGCUCCUGACGAUUGUCUCUUGAGGCCCUCUGGAGUGCUCCACAGUCACCAGUGGUGUGUACUGUCCAAUAGAAGAGUUGCUGGAAUGGAUUCUUGCUAAGUACUCCCACUCUUGUGUGCAGUACCCCAUAUACACCACCCCUGUCUACAUCUCUUCUCCACUGUUCAUUGCUCUACUUAGGACAGAUCAUGCAAGAAAUAUUUGUAGCAAUGGUACCAUCUUGGACUGCCAAAGGGGGAGAAGGUUGGACCUAUCAGUCAAUAAUUCAGCUUACAACGAUACAAAGGUCAAGGUUAUUAUGGCCUUGAUAACAAGUCGAGGUAGGCCUACUUUGUGAACCCUGUAAGUCAAUUCAAUAGCAGUUAUGGACUACAUAAUGGGAAAUUUCAACCUUGCCAUCAUUUUUGUUUACACCUUCUCCCUAUACUUGUGUGAGUUUUUUUGACGGGUGGUUUCUCUUA
This is a long non-coding RNA of Sycon ciliatum, 655 nucleotides long. RefSeq lists it as uncharacterized. The record is from RefSeq and is a predicted model, not a curated record. Lineage: Eukaryota; Metazoa; Porifera; Calcarea; Leucosolenida; Sycettidae. The transcript is spliced from 3 exons.